CCUACGGGAGGCAGCAGGGGGGAAUAUUGGGCAAUGGGCGCAAGCCUGACCCAGCAACGCCGCGGGAAGGAAGAAGGCUUUCGGGUUGUAAACUUCUUUUAAGAGGGAAGAGCAGAAGACGGUACCUCUUGAAUAAGCCACGGCUAACUACGUGCCAGCAGCCGCGGUAAUACGUAGGUGGCAAGCGUUGUCCGGAUUUACUGGGUGGAAAGGGCGUGCAGCCGGGAAGACAAGUCAGAUGUGAAAUCCCGCGGCUCAACCGCGGAACUGCAUUUGAAACUGUUUUUCUUGAGUACCGGAGAGGUCAUCGGAAUUCCGUGUGUAGCGGUGAAAUGCGUAGAUAUAAGGAAGAACACCAGUGGCGAAGGCGGAUGACUGGACGGCAACUGACGGUGAGGCGCGAAAGCGUGGGGAGCAAACAGGAUUAGAUACCCGGGUAGUC
Molecule: ribosomal RNA, 442 nt
Filed under: uncultured bacterium
Lineage: Bacteria
Description: partial 16S ribosomal RNA
Rfam family: Bacterial small subunit ribosomal RNA
Source: RNAcentral